AGUGAACGCUGGCGGUAGGCCUAACACAUGCAAGUCGAACGGCAGCACAGUAAGAGCUUGCUCUUACGGGUGGCGAGUGGCGGACGGGUGAGGAAUACAUCGGAAUCUACUUUUUCGUGGGGGAUAACGUAGGGAAACUUACGCUAAUACCGCAUACGACCUACGGGUGAAAGCAGGGGAUCUUCGCACCUUGCGCGAUUGAAUGAGCCGAUGUCGGAUUAGCUAGUUGGCGGGGUAAAGGCUCACCAAGGCGACGAUCCGUAGCUGGUCUGAGAGGAUGAUCAGCCACACUGGAACUGAGACACGGUCCAGACUCCUACGGGAGGCAGCAGUGGGGAAUAUUGGACAAUGGGCGCAAGCCUGAUCCAGCCAUACCGCGUGGGUGAAGAAGGCCUUCGGGUUGUAAAGCCCUUUUGUUGGGAAAGAAAAGCAGCAGGUUAAUACCCCGCUGUUCUGACGGUACCCAAAGAAUAAGCACCGGCUAACUUCGUG
RNAcentral lists this ribosomal RNA (492 nucleotides) under uncultured bacterium. Its description in RNAcentral is "partial 16S ribosomal RNA". It matches the Rfam family "Bacterial small subunit ribosomal RNA", at positions 29 to 507 of the family's 1533-position model. The record is from RNAcentral.